Molecule: ribosomal RNA, 487 nt
Filed under: uncultured bacterium
Lineage: Bacteria
Description: partial 16S ribosomal RNA
Rfam family: Bacterial small subunit ribosomal RNA
Source: RNAcentral
GAUAAACGCUGGCGGCGCACAUAAGACAUGCAAGUCGAACGGACUUAACUCAUUCUUUUAGAUUGAGAGCGGUUAGUGGCGGACUGGUGAGUAACACGUAAGCAACCUGCCUAUCGGAGGGGAAUAACAGUGAGAAAUCAUUGCUAAUACCGCAUAAGCUAGUAGUAUCGCAUGAUGUAGCUAGAAAAGGAGUAAUCCGCUGAUAGAUGGGCUUGCGUCUGAUUAGCUAGUUGGUGGGGCAACGGCCUACCAAGGCGACGAUCAGUAGCCGGACUGCGAGGUUGAACGGCCACAGUGGGACUGAGCUACGGCCCAGACUCCUACGGGAGGCAGCAGUCGGGAAUAUUGCGCAAUGGAGGAAACUCUGACGCAGUGACGCCGCGUAUAGGAAGAAGGUUUUCGGAUUGUAAACUAUUGUCGUGAGGGAAGAAAUUGACAGUACCUCAGGAGGAAGCUCCGGCUAACUAUGUGCCAGCCGCCGCAGUAA